RNAcentral lists this transfer RNA (89 nucleotides) under Methylobacterium persicinum. RNAcentral's name for it is "tRNA-Ala". The record is from RNAcentral. Lineage: Bacteria; Pseudomonadati; Pseudomonadota; Alphaproteobacteria; Hyphomicrobiales; Methylobacteriaceae.
UCGUCGCCUGCGGGGGGGCCGCAACGGUGUUGCCGACCGCCACGAUCACGCCCGGGGAGGGCACGCCGUUCCUGUCGAUGGCGACGAGC